This is a long non-coding RNA of Hemiscyllium ocellatum (epaulette shark), 3508 nucleotides long. RefSeq lists it as uncharacterized. NCBI's taxonomy places the organism in Eukaryota, Metazoa, Chordata, Chondrichthyes, Orectolobiformes, Hemiscylliidae. The record is from RefSeq and is a predicted model, not a curated record. The transcript has 2 exons.
GCUCGGCGAACAGAACCACAACAAGCACCCGACCUACAAAUCUUCUCCCAAACAUUUCACUUUGGUAUUUUUUAGGUGAUAGAGCAAGGAGUCAUGACAUUGUUCAUCUUAAUGAGAUGUAUUGACGAAACUGAACAAAUGUGGAGGAUAAAACCCAGAUCCAGCUGGAUUGCAUCCAUGAAUUUUACAAGUGUAGGGCAGAGAGAGCAAAGGCACUACUGGACAGUAAUUGAAUAAUUAAUCUGGGAAAAGAAUAGUGCCUGAGGACUGAAAAAACAGAUGAUAUAUCCCUUUAUUAAAGAAGGAAGAGAGACAAUAUAGACCUGUCAGUUUAACAAUGAUGACUGGAAAAAAAAUGGAGUCUGUCCUAAAGGAAAGAAGAUGAGAAAUCUCAAAACAAGUGUAAGGAUGAAUAAUAUGUUGAUUUUAAAAAGGGAAAUCAAGCUUUUUUUUUCAAUUCUUUUGGGUGAGUGACCCAACAUACUUGGAUGGUAUGCAAUAGUAGUAAGUUAUCUGAUUAUUGAGGGAGGGAGCCGGGAGUAAGCUAUCUCCAGGAUCGAUUCAAUCCAAACAAAUAUGUGUGAUUAGUUUUAAAAAAACUGAUACCAGCCAACAAAAGAUGGGCAGUAGGCAGGUGGCAGUUCCAGCUAACUAUUGCAAUUACAAAAUUAUAAGGAUGGGUCACUGAGAUUUUUGGAAAAUGAGCACUAAAAGACUGAAAUACAGGUGGUUCUCCAUUAACAUGGUAGGUGCAUUCCUACAUGACACAGUGCUGUAGAAAUCCGCACAAUAUAACAAAUGGGGCCAAUGGGGAAAAACAGGGUUAAGGCAAAUCACCAAAAAUUCCAGUAAGAAUAGAAACAAAAAUAGUAGUUAGCCACUAAGUAAAUCUUUAUAUCAUAUAGUGUAAUGAAGUAAUACAGUAAAUGUAACAGUUUAGCACUGUAAUAACUGACUACAUCACAUUACCUUUUAUGAAGGUCUUCACCAGAAAGCGCAUGAACUGACUGAUCACGUGAUGCUGAAGUGGAAGUCCAGUCCUCCACUAGAAACUUCUCCAGUUUGAACUAAAGUUCCUUCUAACUGUUGUGACAAUACUGUGCCUUUAACAAGCUUAUGUCACCCUUGGUUUUUUUGGACAGGUCGUAAAAUACACAAACUCCAAACAGUCUGUGUUGGAUUGGUUUUAGGACCAGUAUGCUUAUAGCUAACAUAUCCUGUCUCAGGAAAAGGCUUUUGAGUUUAAACAAAAACACUUAUACAAUGAAAGCGGAGUGGCCAGUGCUCCCAGCUCAGCUUUUCCUCUGGUUUGGUUUGUUUUAGCACAGUAGUGUUUUUUUGAAGCUGCUGGAUCCAAAGAAGCAGGUCCAUGCUGGUACUCUCUCUCUCUGACCUGUCUCCUGUCAAACUGUGUUUGUUUGAUUUUACCUUUUGUACUAAAGGGUGUUUAUGAGAUUGUUGCAAGUAUUGGAACAGCAUCAUUAAGUUGGGAUGAUCUGUUGGGUUUUCAGAUAGGUUGUUAUUCUGUAUUCUGUUUUCUUUUGUUCGUAUUUCAUUCGGUAAUCUUGUAAAUAAAUUGUUUUAUUUAAAACUACUUGGUUUGACCAACUGUAUCCCUCCUGGAAUAUCCAUGUUAUACCUGCUUAAAACAACUAGCAAAGUUAGGGUCUGGGCCACCUUCUUGAAAUGGUUUGAGGGAUCUAGCCUGGUCCAUAACAAUGUAGAUUACAAUUUUCAAGUUUCAAGGCAUGCAGAGCUGAUUUAGCUGAACACACUGAAUUUGCACUUUGCAGACAUAGGAUCCUGAGGCUGGGUUUUGCUGUUCAAGUAGUGCCGGGGGUGGAAUUGCAUAAUAUAAAAAAAAGGUCCACAAUUCACUAAUUGGAUUAGAGCCAAAUCCUGUGUAAUGAAUGGGUGUUCUAGGAGAACUACCUGCACUUAUUUACCAGGAUUACAUAUGGUCACAUUUUGUCAGUCAUUCUACAUUUUGAGAUCAACUUCCAAUGAACUAUUUAGCAGGAUUAUUGCUGAAAUAAGACACGUUUUGUUGAAGCUUUGUCUUGAAAUCAUCAGGAAAUUUUGCAAGAAUGCAAAUUUAAGGGGAAAAUCAACGGUUAGCAUUGCUGCCUCACAGUGCCAGAGACCCAGGUUCAAUUCCCGCCUCAGGCGACUGACUGUGUGGAGUUUGCAUGUGCCUCCCGUGUCUGCGUGGGUUUCCUCCGGGUGCUCCGGUUUCCUCCCACAGUCCAAAGAUGUGCAGGUUAGGUGAAUUGGCCAUGCUAAAUUGCCCGUAGCGUUAGGUGAAGGGGUAAAUAUAGGGGAAUGGGUCUGGGUGGGUUGUGCUUCGGCAGGUCGGUGUGGACUUGUUGGGCAGAAAGGGCCUGUUUCCACACUGUAGGUAAUCUAAUUUCAUCUAAUCUAAUGAGAAGAUAGUGCAGAUGGAUUGAGAAAUUAGCUAUUUUGCUCUUAAUGGAUUGUGUAGGAGUGGGCCUUAUUUUGCUGCAACGUCAAUUUGAAAUUUAUCUAACUGCUCUUAUUUAUAUAGAAUCUCUCUCCAAAAUUUAUGCUCUGUAACAAAAAUCUAAGAGCUUGACCUAUUAGUUUAAAAUUCAUCCACAUAAAAGUUAAAUACAAUAUUAUAACAAAUGUUUUGUCAAGAGAAAGUGAGAAUUAAAUGAAAUGCCACAAUCAAAAUGGGCUUGUGUAGAAAGAUCAUCAUGAAACCUCUUACAUUUAAUUAUGUCUGUCUGUGAUAAAAAGGAAUUUUGAGAGGAAAUAUUUCUUUUAUUUCAGGAGAGGUGUGAAAAUGGUUUGUUAUUAUUAUUAGGGAACUUGGAAUUUAAAGUAGAGGUAAAAUAAUCUGGUUUUUGUUCAGUGAUGGUAACUUGUUUGUAAAGAGGUAAGAAAUUCAUUAGACUAAAGACAGCAAUUCCAUAAAAUCACAUGAUGCAAGUGCCUCACAGGAUGGUGUUAAUUGAUCGUGUGCUUACAAUACUGCAUUUUACGGCAUACAGAAAAAUAUGAUCAGGCCCACUUAUAUUUUGAGUUUAUUUCAGCAAAUUAAGUCUUCAGUUCAAAAAGUAGUUUCAUCCCAGCAAAUGAGUGACAUUUAGAAACGGUAGACUCUGGAGAGGGGAGUUUGUACACCUUCCGAACUGAGAGACGGCUCCUGGCUGUCAGAACAGAAACGACAAUGCAGACCCUUCAAAUUGGAAAGAAAACUCAAAACCAUCAAAACUGGACAGAGUUUCUUACGUAAAAACUAAUCAUUCCCAGUGAAAUAGCACUUGCAUCUGUAAAGGAUAUUGCACAUUUAACAAGGUUAAAUUUUUCUUUUUGUCUGCUACAUAAAGACAUGUCUAAACUGCCUCAUGUAUAUAGUUGUUUACUUUUUGAGAAAUAAUGACAUGCCACUUGGAACUUCAUGCCUAAUCUGUACCUGAACUCUGCUAAUUCACCAUCAUUCCCCUGAUAACAUCACCCAAUAAAGGUCUAAUUGACAUAUGUA